Non-coding RNA from Pelobates cultripes (western spadefoot toad), 210 nucleotides. The record is from the annotation of a GenBank genome assembly. Lineage: Eukaryota; Metazoa; Chordata; Amphibia; Anura; Pelobatidae.
CAAUGUGUCUCCCUAUGUCUCCCUGUGUCCCCUAGUGUCUCAGUGACCCCAUGUCUCCCUGCUGCCUUUCCCCCCAUCCCUCACUUACCUGAGGUGUAGUCUGUCUCUGCAGGCUGGAAGCUGCUGUCUUGACCCUCUGUGCUGUGUAGCUGCUCCCCCGCAGAUCAGUGAGUAGAGAGAGGCAGGUAGAUGCUGUACCUUCCUAUCCCU